This 45-nucleotide non-coding RNA is filed under the name Trichobilharzia regenti. The record is from RNAcentral. Lineage: Eukaryota; Metazoa; Platyhelminthes; Trematoda; Strigeidida; Schistosomatidae.
AUGCUUCUGACGAGUCCCAAAUAGGACGAAAUGCAAAUCCUGGAU